CUCUCUCUCUCUCUCUCUCUCUCUCUCUCUCCUGCGAAACCAGACCCAUUUUUUUUCAUUUUCGGCUUGCUACGACCCCACCUUCACGCCUCCACCACCGCCCCCACACGCCGCCACUUGGGGCGGCACCGGUCCCGUUGGAACCACCACACUCCCUACUUUCCAUUCCACCCCACCACCACCUCGAUCCGCCGCCGUGCACGCCAGAAACAGCCACGAAAGGUAGCGGUUUGGACAGAUUUUUACCAAACUUUCGACCCUUCGUUCUCUCUCAUUCCUCCACCAAAUUGGACGUGUAAGGUACUCCGACCACGCAUUCGCAGCAGGCGGGACCCUCUCAGGGUCAGGCAGUGUGGGACUACUUGUGAGUGGACUUUGUUUUCAACUUAUAAGCAUGGUUUUACAAUGAGAAUUUUAUGCAUAUGAUUAAAUAGUCAUUGAAAUGCAUGUUAUAUUUAAUAGUUAAAUUCUCCAUUUUCAUAAAGUAUUGGUAAUAUAUUUGGGUUUUGACAUAUUUGAGUAUCUUGAGUAUGUAUAUGGAUUUUGAGAAUUUAUAUAUAUGUUUGGCUAUGUGUGGGGUACUUGGGUUGUUGAGAUGAGAUUUUGGAAAGUGAUGAGUAUAGAAUGUCGGAGUGCUAUAAGCACUACCCUAUGUACCUCCCCUUAUUUGGAACUUGGAUACGGAUACUUGAGAUACUCGGGGCAUCCUUGACGGGAUGUUGCUGUAGACCCUUGAUUGGGUAGUCUGCGCGCGUAUGACUAAUCACAGACGUACAAGUUUUGAGGGUAUCGACUGUACGUGCUGGCUGAGAGUUAGUCCCCCGGUUGGACGGCUCGUUCCCUAGUUACAUGGUGAAUUGAGGACUCUUCAUGGGGACUCUGCCAUGGUGACUAGUCAAACAAUCUCCCGGUUGGAUUGUUUCCCCGAUACAACUAGGUGUUGGUCAUAUUUAUAUUAUUAUUAUAUAUGUAUAUAUAUCUCUUAUUAUGUAUAAAUUUACAUAUGUAUAUAACUAUUUAUUUAUUCUUAUUUUUCGGUGAGGAUACUUCCUUGCCGGUCGUGCCAUUGGGUACGCUUUCGAGAGUCUGGUUUGGGACUUAUAAUAUUUAAUUGGUGGGUGUAACACCCCGAUCCCAAUUUUUUCCAAAUUUAACCCUUAUUUAAAUUAUUUAUUUAUUAAGGGUAUUUUGGUCAUAUUUUUAACCGGAGAGAGUUCGGGACCGUGACUGGUAUUUUUGGGUAGGUGGUACUGAGACGAAUUCGUAGACACGCGGUAGGCUCGAAUCGAAGUCGUAACGAAGAAGUUACAAUCAAAAUAUCGACAGUGGCAAAACUGUAAAUAUUUCGAAGUUUGGGUUAAAAAUAUCUGACUUUUCUCUCUCUCUCUCUCUCUCUCUCUCUCUCUCUCUCUCUCUCUCUCUCUCCCCCGCGCGAUCUCUCUCUCUCUCCCCCGCGCGAUCUCUCUCUCUCUCCCCGACGUCCGCUCUCUCUCUCCUCGAUGCUCUCCACUCCGGCCACGGCAGGACCCGAGACCGGUCCCGAUCGACUCGCCUCGCCGCCCCGACCAAGACCUGCCCGUUUUCCCCGUCGGAAACCACGGAUUCCGGCCGCGAGCUCGACUGGUUUGAACCGGGGUUUUCUCGCCGUCGCGCCGCCGCCUCCGCCGCCCAAACUCGGUGAUUAAGGUAUGGUUUCUCAUCCUUUUUACGAGUUCUAGCUGUUGGUUGUAUAGGUUUGGAUCGAUUUUGAGUGUAGAAAAUCGAUUGGGAAACCUAGGUUUUGGCCGGAUUUCAAAAUGAAAUUCCGGCCAGUUGCCGCCCGAAUUGGGCCUUCCCGUAGUUGAAGAAAGUGAUCCUGACCUCAGGUAGAAGCUAGGGUAGGAAUGGUGAGCUCGAGUGUGGAGUUUUUCCGUCGCCGGAAAUUACUCUACACACCCACGCGCUGCCGGCGCGUGUGGCGGCUCGUGGGCGAGGCUGGUGAGGCUGCAAAUUAACCCGAUGAGAUCCUUAGGUUGUCACGAGCGCGUAGGAUUUCGCGGAUCUCAAUUCGGACGUCGUUUGACUAUCGAACGGAUAUCGCCUAUUACGCGUUAUCCGGGUUCGAUAGGUCGGGACCGUUGGAUGGUCCCGAAAAUAAUAUAUGUUAAUCUAAGUAUUUCUAGGAUCGUGGGGGAAUUCACGGAUCGUGAAUCGGAGCCCCGGAUGUUCCGAUUUAUUAAAUUAAAUAUAUUAUUUUAUAUUAACCGUUAGAUCGUGCGAUCGCGAGCGAUCCGACCGUCCGAUCUGAACCAAACUUGCAGGACAAGUGUCCUAAAUCUUACAGCACUCAUAGGAACUCCCGGAUCGGAGUUUGGAGGUCGUGGUUCCCGUGGGCCCGUUUGACCAGGGUUAGGGCAGUUUGACCCUUGGUUGACCGUGAGUCUUCCGGAGUAAUCUCACCUUCCUAGGGGGAUUAUCUGGUGCUAGACUACUGUUGGGGUUUACGCAAUAUUAGAAUAUUUGUAUAUUCAUAGAAUUAGAACUAUAGGUUUGUACAAGGGUACAACCGAGUCUAGAAUGUCAGUUGGAGUGCUAUAUGCACUACUUUAAGUACCUUCCCGAAUUUUGGAUGUACUACGAGUACCACCAAGAGGAAGUUAGGUCCCACGUGGCGUAGGUUAUCCGGCGUGUGGACAGACCCCAUACGUGGCGUUGGUUGUACCGGCGUAUGGGGAGAUUUGUGGCAUUGUGUUGAGGUCGCACGUGGCGUAGGUUAUCCGGCGUGUCGACAGGCCCCAUACGUGGCGUUGGUUGUACCGGCGUAUGGGGAGUUAUGUGAUAUGACGUGUAGGUCUCACGUGGCGUAGGUUAUCCGGCGUUGAGACAGACCCCAUACGUGGCGUUGGUUGUACCGACGUAUGGGGAGAUAUUAUAGUAUGGUAUGGUCGCACGUGGCGUAGGUUAUCAGCGUGUUGACAGGCCCCAUACGUGGCGUUGGUAGUACCGGCGUAUGGGGAGAUUAUGUGAAAGACAGAGAAAUGAAUUGAGGUAUCGCCUAAGUGUAAAUUUGGGUUGUAAGGGAGAACUACGUGUGGCUUGAUCCCUCAAGGAGGGUACGUAGGCAGCCUAACGUUAUUAGGUGCAGCCGCAGACUAAAUAUUAGUCAUAAAGGGGUAUUUGAAUUGCUGGGUAGUUGGUUGAGAAUUAUUGGAAGACCGAAAGCCAUUUGUGUGAAUUGCAUGAAAUUAUAUUGUGCAUGCUGCCAGUUGAGAAUAUAAAUUGUGUUUUUAUGCAGGUAUGAAUUUUGGGAAAUGUCUAAUUUAUAGGGGAGACUCUGCCGAAUUUUCGGCAGAAAGUCCCGGUUUUUAGUGAGUGGGCCCGGCAUCGAGGUGAUGUCAGGAAUUCCAAAGGAUUUGUCUCGGAUUUUGGGAAAAUUCGGGGCGGGUCCUUUCAGUGGGUUUGUUUAGUGUUCUGUUUGGAUUUCGGACUUGGCAUUCCGGCAUUGGUUUGGUUUUGACCUAUAUAAAUAUUUAUUUGAUUUUGAUGAUUUUGAGAUGCUUUCGGAUUUUCUUGCUUGGUUUAUUAAACAGUGGGGUUAUAUUAUGUUGGUUUGCACUGAACUGAACUUUAUUUUUGUCCACUCACAUUUUUCUGUUUUGCGCCCCCAGCCAGUAGUCGACUGAGCUUCGCAGCUAGGCCGGAUCGUGUGCUCACGAGCCUUGAGCCAUCGUAGGAUUUCUUCAUCCUGUUUUCCUUGAACUUUGUUUCUGUUGUAUUUAAACUCCUUAGAUAUGCUCUGUUAUCGCCCUUGUAGGGUUGAUCUUUGAGGCCGGAGGCCUUUGUUGUAAACUGUUUAAUUGCUUUAAAGCAUGCUGCUGGUUGAGUACUUUAAACUGUGUUUUUGAGCAGGUUGAAUUUUUGGGGAAAUGCUCAAUUUACAGGGGAGACUCUGCCAAAAUUUUUGGUAGAAAGUCUCGAUUCUUAGUAAGUGGGCCCGGCAUCGGGAAGAUGUCGGUAACAAGACGGGAUUCGCUCCGGUUUUCGGGAAUUCCGGGGCGGGUCUUGUCAAAGAGCCUUUGAGCUUUGCGACUCCUUCUCCACUAUUGAUCCUCUGAUUGCUUCUCGAGGGACUGGAAAACGCCUUCUCCACUAUUGAUCCUCAUAUUGCUUCCUUGUCGGAAAAUGCCUUCCUCUCGCGCUUUGCAGUGACUUUCUUAGCCAUGGUCGUUGUUGGUAUGAGUAUGGUCAUUAAAAUCGUUGGUGGUGGUUGUAACCUCGUGGUCUCCGUUUGGGAUUGAAUCAAAGCUCGUAAUGCAGCUCCCAUAUAAAAUACAAAGGGUAAAAACGUUAUUCAAAUACAAAU
This 4342-nucleotide long non-coding RNA is filed under the name Prunus dulcis (almond). RNAcentral's name for it is "sRNA ncRNA". The record is from RNAcentral. Lineage: Eukaryota; Viridiplantae; Streptophyta; Magnoliopsida; Rosales; Rosaceae.